UAGGGAAUCUUCCACAAUGGACGCAAGUCUGAUGGAGCAACGCCGCGUGAGUGAAGAAGGUUUUCGGAUCGUAAAGCUCUGUUGUUGGUGAAGAAGGAUAGAGGCAGUAACUGGUCUUUAUUUGACGGUAAUCAACCAGAAAGUCACGGCUAACUACGUGCCAGCAGCCGCGGUAAUACGUAGGUGGCAAGCGUUGUCCGGAUUUAUUGGGCGUAAAGCGAGCGCAGGCGGAAUGAUAAGUCUGAUGUGAAAGCCCACGGCUCAACCGUGGAACUGCAUCGGAAACUGUCAUUCUGGAGUGCAGAAGAGGAGAGUGGAAUUCCAUGUGUAGCGGUGGAAUGCGUAGAUAUAUGGAAGAACACCAGUGGCGAAGGCGGCUCUCUGGUCUGCAACUGACGCUGAGGCUCGAAAGCAUGGGUAGCGAACAGG
This 429-nucleotide ribosomal RNA is filed under the name Bacillota bacterium. RNAcentral's name for it is "Firmicutes bacterium partial 16S ribosomal RNA". It matches the Rfam family "Bacterial small subunit ribosomal RNA", at positions 355 to 776 of the family's 1533-position model. Lineage: Bacteria; Bacillati; Bacillota. The record is from RNAcentral.